RNAcentral lists this ribosomal RNA (375 nucleotides) under uncultured organism. Its description in RNAcentral is "partial 16S ribosomal RNA". It matches the Rfam family "Bacterial small subunit ribosomal RNA", at positions 523 to 896 of the family's 1533-position model. The record is from RNAcentral.
CGGGGGGGGGGGCAAGCGUUGUUCGGAAUUACUGGGCGUAAAGGGCGUGUAGGCGGUCCCGCAAGUCUUUCGUGAAAUCCCACAGCUCAACUGUGGAACUGCGAGGGAAACUGCAGGACUUGAGUCCGGGAGAGGAGAGUGGAAUUCCCAGUGUAGCGGUGAAAUGCGUAGAUAUUGGGAGGAACACCGGUGGCGAAGGCGGCUCUCUGGACCGGUACUGACGCUGAGGCGCGAAAGCUAGGGGAGCAAACGGGAUUAGAUACCCCGGUAGUCCUAGCCUUAAACGAUGAGCACUUGGUGUGGCGGGUAUCGACCCCUGCCGUGCCGAAGCUAACGCAUUAAGUGCUCCGCCUGGGGAGUACGGUCGCGAGGCUG